RNAcentral lists this transfer-messenger RNA (95 nucleotides) under Tindallia sp. MSAO_Bac2. RNAcentral's name for it is "partial transfer-messenger RNA". It matches the Rfam family "transfer-messenger RNA", at positions 279 to 374 of the family's 374-position model. Rfam says of the family: Bacterial tmRNA, also known as 10Sa RNA or SsrA, is named for its dual tRNA and mRNA-like properties. Lineage: Bacteria; Bacillati; Bacillota; Clostridia; Peptostreptococcales; Tindalliaceae. The record is from RNAcentral.
AAAUUGUCCCACGAAAAGCCAAAUCAGGACUAGGCUCGUAGAGGCUUCUGCUGGUGAACUUCCGGACGCGGGUUCGAUUCCCGCCGCCUCCACCA